Molecule: long non-coding RNA, 928 nt
Organism: Drosophila santomea
Lineage: Eukaryota; Metazoa; Arthropoda; Insecta; Diptera; Drosophilidae
Exons: 3
Source: RefSeq, a predicted model, not a curated record
UCUGAAAUGGAUGAAUGGCCAAGUUGGCUGGGCUCAAUCGCUGGCUCUCUUCUGGUUCUGAAGACCAUCUUCUGCUGCUGGGCCUUCAGUCGCCACUGGUGACCCAAUCAAGCUAAUGAUCAUCUUUGGGAGGUGGGGAAAAAAGAGUGACCCAAUUAACUGGUGUUAGGUAAUACUGGCAUACUUUCUGUUCUGUAACAUUGGCUUUUCAUUCAUAGGGAUUAAUUACUAUGAGUUGGAUCCCUCUGCAUACAACCGAAAAUCGAGAAGAAGUACGUGACUUUUAAUGACUAACCACACAGACAAUCAAAUUUACACAUUGCCCAACAUGAAUGCAACAUUUACUCCGUCGAAUUAUUCAAGAAGUGGAGCCCUUCAUCUCGCUUCGAGUGGCUCAUGAAUAGUGUGGGUAUAGUUUGGCUAAUGGGCCAGACAAGUGGCAACCGGCAAUUGUCAAGUCAAGUCAGUCAAGUAGUCGGCAACACGAGAACGGCUGAAAAGAAAAUCAGAAAAUCAACAACGUUUGCCGGCAAAAAGCAAGAAAACCACUUUAAGACGACCCAGCGAACGAGCAGACGGCAUUAAAAGUGGAGAAUAAGUGUAAUAAUGACAUUUGUGUGGCCGUUAGCAGUUGGAUUCUUAACUGUUUGACAUUUUGCGUAACCUUUUUCGAAGACAUUUGGCCUUUAUCCCGAUUAACCGCGUUCUUUUUUUCCCUUUUUGUGUUCAGAGGAAGUGGAGAUAGGAACUUGGGCAACUCCAUACCAAGCUGAUGAUGAUGAGGAUGAACUACCGGUGUGUGUGUGGUGUGUCCGAAGAAAAUUCAGCAGGAAAAGCGGCUAAACGAAUUGACUAGAAAACUUGGAGGAAAUGGAGGAAAUGUUACUAAAAAAAAAAGUAACAGAAAUGGAAAAUGGAAUGUGUGUAC